UCCUCCCUCAAACCUCGGGUUUGGUGUUGGACCCAAGCUGUUCGCCCGAACAGCUGGUCUCAAAGACAAUGACGGCGUCCGUGGGACCCUCGGUGCAACGAGCUUUCAGGAGCACGCGUCGAGUUUCAAGGUCCUUCCGGGCCGGUCUACCCUUCUAUUUCUAA
Molecule: unclassified non-coding RNA, 164 nt
Filed under: uncultured Knufia
Lineage: Eukaryota; Fungi; Ascomycota; Eurotiomycetes; Chaetothyriales; Chaetothyriaceae
Description: sequence contains ITS2
Source: RNAcentral